Molecule: ribosomal RNA, 305 nt
Filed under: uncultured bacterium
Lineage: Bacteria
Description: bacterial SSU rRNA
Rfam family: Bacterial small subunit ribosomal RNA
Source: RNAcentral
GCCUACGGGGGGCAGCAGUAGGGAAUCUUCCACAAUGGGCGAAAGCCUGAUGGAGCAACGCCGCGUGGGUGAAGAAGGUCUUCGGAUCGUAAAACCCUGUUGUUAGAGAAGAAAGUGCGUGAGAGUAACUGUUCACGUUUCGACGGUAUCUAACCAGAGAGCCACGGCUAACUACGUGCCAGCAGCCGCGGUAAUACGUAGGUGGCAAGCGUUAUCCGGAUUUAUUGGGCGUAAAGGGAACGCAGGCGGUCUUUUAAGUCUGAUGUGAAAGCCUUCGGCUUAACCGGAGUAGUGCAUUGGAAACU